UACAGAGGUCUCAAGCGUUGUUCGGAUUCAUUGGGCGUAAAGGGUGCGUAGGCGGGCGCGGUAAGUCGGAUGUGAAAUCUCGGGGCUUAACUCCGAAACUGCAUUCGAUACUACCGUGCUUGAGGACUGGAGAGGAGACUGGAAUUUACGGUGUAGCGGUGAAAUGCGUAGAUAUCGUAAGGAAGACCAGUGGCGAAGGCGGGUCUCUGGACAGUUCCUGACGCUGAGGCACGAAGGCCAGGGGAGCAAACGGG
Molecule: ribosomal RNA, 254 nt
Filed under: uncultured bacterium
Lineage: Bacteria
Description: partial 16S ribosomal RNA
Rfam family: Bacterial small subunit ribosomal RNA
Source: RNAcentral